AUAGCGUAUAUUAAAGUUGUUGCAGUUAAAAAGCUCGUAGUUGAACUUCAGGCCUGGCUGGGCGGUCCGCCUCACGGUGUGUACUGUCCGGCUGGGUCUUACCUCUUGGUGAGCCGGCAUGCCCUUUACUGGGUGUGUCGGGGAACCAGGACUUUUACCUUGAGAAAAUUAGAGUGUUCAAAGCAGGCCUGCGCCUGAAUACAUUAGCAUGGAAUAAUAAAAUAGGACGUGCGGUUCUAUUUUGUUGGUUUCUAGAGUCGCCGUAAUGAUUAAUAGGGAUAGUUGGGGGCAUUAGUAUUCCGUUGCUAGAGGUGAAAUUCUUGGAUUUACGGAAGACUAACUACUG
Molecule: ribosomal RNA, 346 nt
Filed under: uncultured eukaryote
Lineage: Eukaryota
Description: SSU rRNA
Rfam family: Eukaryotic small subunit ribosomal RNA
Source: RNAcentral